This 1611-nucleotide long non-coding RNA is filed under the name Zostera marina. RNAcentral describes it as "long non-coding RNA (ZMAR_LNC002675)". The record is from RNAcentral. Lineage: Eukaryota; Viridiplantae; Streptophyta; Magnoliopsida; Alismatales; Zosteraceae.
CCCAAUCUCUCCUCCUCCCAACUCGCAUGACCCAUCCACCUCACGAUUUCUCCCUCCGUUGCUUUCUAUAUAAGUUGUUUUCUAGUACACAAGGAGUCCAAGAUCGAUAACAUACCCCCAAACUAUUAACUAUCUACCAUCUUCAUUCUUCAGGCGGGAUCAAAUUGGUGUGCGUCAGUGCGUGUGUGACUGUGUCUGUCUGCGGUCUGCCCUCAACAACCUAGGUGAAGAUCUAAAGACUUCCCAAGAAUUGUUAUGCAUUGGAAAAUCGAUUACAGUUGGUACCUGGCAUUUGACAGUUGAUCACCAAUCAAUAACAGUAUAAGAUGCCAGAUUUCAAUCAAAUUCCCGUUCGUUUAUCGGUGGAUUUUAUCGUUUCGUUCUUCUUUGGGUUUCCGGUGAUUUAUUUUUUUGGAUAUUGUUUGCUGUAUUGUUGUUGGUUUAGCUCUGCAGCUGCUUCUCUCUAAAACUCGUUUCUUGAUUUUUUUUUUCUGACUCGAUCUUUUACACUGUGCUUGUAUCUCUGUAUUGGGUUUCUGUCAUUCUUUUCUGUGAGAUGAUGAUUUCGUCUUAUUAUCUGGUUCUUGCCCCUUUUCUUAACCAAGGCUCGUCUCUUUCUGUCUUCUCAUCUUGUAGAAAUGUUUAAUUUAUUUCUAACGAUCUGUAUUUUUUCUUAUUCUUGAUUUAGGAUCAGUGUGACUGUUUGAAAGCUACAGAGGAGGAAUCUAGAGAGAGUUUGGAAAGAAUCCAGAAAUCAAAUAAGGUUUCUCUCAGAGUCUCAGGAAUCGAAGGUGUGUGUGCAUAGAAAACUUUGAGAAACAAAAUGCAAAAUAUUAUUAUGAAAGUCUCAAUUUGUCAUUGUCUUGUGAUCCUAUGUGUGGCUGAGUUUUUAUUUGUGUACAUUUUCUUUUCCAUUUUUCUGUUGGCAUUGUCUUUUGAGUUUUGAUCUUUUUCCAUUUUGCUGUUUCUUCUUCUUCAUCAUCAAAUGGAGAUCAAAUAAUAAAGUGGCAAACUACUAAGUGAGUCUUUGGUAUAUAGUUUUACCACCUAAUCCUCCAUAAUCAUAGAAAUAAUUUGUGAAAACCAUUUUCUCACAUUAUCAAAGAAGUGUUUUUCCCUUGAGAGUUCCCAUGCUGUUUUUUGAUGCAGUUUCCAUGUUGUUUUGAAUGAUGAGAAAUCAUCUCAUUUCAGAUCUUCAACGCAUGUUUUUAUUUCAUACAUAAUUUUAUAUAUAAAAACACUUAAACAUUAAAUUAAAUUGGUGAAACAUAUAAACUAUAAAUUCAUUUCAGCACACUAAUUUUCAAAAUCUAUUUUUUAAUCAAAUAGCUCUUCUUUUAUAGUUCUCAAAAGCCACUUAAAAUGCAUCUUUUAGUAUUUUAAAACUUAAAAUGCAUCUAUUUCAGUCAAAACUGAAAAGAUAAAAUUAAAUGACCAAACUGUAUAAUCAUUCUUACAAAUACAAUAGACCCUAAGUUAAUGUCUAUUUUUUUUUAUACAGAUGCUUCUGAAUUUUUUUAGGUUGACUAGUGACUACGCUUUCCGCUUGAGUGUUAAUUAGGGAUUUGUCAUUUCAUUUGUCGGAAGCUUAAAAAGAUCUUCUAUAACAAG